RNAcentral lists this long non-coding RNA (240 nucleotides) under Callithrix jacchus (white-tufted-ear marmoset). RNAcentral's name for it is "lncRNA (ENSCJAG00000064134.2)". Lineage: Eukaryota; Metazoa; Chordata; Mammalia; Primates; Cebidae. The record is from RNAcentral.
GUGGUGAUGAAUGAGGCCUGGCCUGUGGCAAACAGAGAAAAGAUCUCAUCCUUCACCUAGGCCGGAGUGCAGUGGUGCAAUUAUGGCUUCCUAUAGCCUCAAACUAAAGGCCUAAGUGAUCCUCCUACCUCAGCCUCCUGCGUAGCCGAGAUUACAGAAAAUCAGAUGAACAUCUGCUUCUGGCCACCAUGAUGUAACAAGUACCAGAUUGACCGCUGAGACUUAAAACACUAAAAAACU